GUUCGAAAUGACGAGCAAAUUUUCCCUAUUGGGAUGAUCCGUCAGUAUGAUGGCGAUUAUUUGUAUUAGCUCUAUCUGAUCCUAA
Molecule: non-coding RNA, 85 nt
Organism: Spinacia oleracea (spinach)
Lineage: Eukaryota; Viridiplantae; Streptophyta; Magnoliopsida; Caryophyllales; Amaranthaceae
Source: Rfam